Notothenia coriiceps (black rockcod) is the source of this 91-nucleotide long non-coding RNA. RefSeq lists it as uncharacterized. The transcript has 3 exons. The record is from RefSeq and is a predicted model, not a curated record. Lineage: Eukaryota; Metazoa; Chordata; Actinopteri; Perciformes; Nototheniidae.
CUCCUGUGGGGAUAGUCCACAGUAUCAAGUAUGUAAGUCGCUUUGGAUAAAAGCGUCUAACAAGUAACAUGUAAUUUAAGUCACGUUGGUC